AGCAGCCGCGGUAAUUCCAGCUCCAAUAGCGUAUAUUAAAGUUGUUGCAGUUAAAAAGCUCGUAGUUGAAUUUCGAGAUCAAAUUGUUGGUCGUGCCUUGGUACGCACUGGCAUUAUUGGUUUCUCCCUUCUGACGAACCAUGAUGUCAUUAAUUUGGUGUCUUGGGGAAUCAGGACUGUUACUUUGAAAAAAUUAGAGUGUUUAAAGCAGGCUCACGCUUGAAUACAUUAGCAUGGAAUAAUGAAAUAGGACGUUUGAUUCUAUUUUGUUGGUUUCUAGGAUCGACGUAAUGAUUAAUAGGGAUAGUUGGGGGCAUUAGUAUUCAAUUGUCAGAGGUGAAAUUCUUGGAUUUAUUGAAGACUAACUACUGCGAAAGCAUUUGCCAAGGAUGUUUUCAUUAAUCAAGAACGAAGGUUAGGGGAUCGAAGACGAUCAGAUACCGUCGUAGUCUUAACCAUAAACUAUGCCGACUAGGGAUCGGAUGAUGUUAAUUUUUUAAUGACUCAUUCGGCGCCUUAC
This 520-nucleotide ribosomal RNA is filed under the name uncultured Glomus. RNAcentral's name for it is "SSU rRNA". It matches the Rfam family "Eukaryotic small subunit ribosomal RNA", at positions 569 to 1091 of the family's 1831-position model. Lineage: Eukaryota; Fungi; Glomeromycota; Glomeromycetes; Glomerales; Glomeraceae. The record is from RNAcentral.